This is a non-coding RNA of Myotis davidii, 74 nucleotides long. The record is from Rfam. Lineage: Eukaryota; Metazoa; Chordata; Mammalia; Chiroptera; Vespertilionidae.
GCCGGUGUGGCUCAGUGGGUAGAGCAUCGGCCGGCGGACUGAUGGGUCCUGGGUUCGAAUCCCGGUCAAGGGCA